RNAcentral lists this ribosomal RNA (374 nucleotides) under uncultured bacterium. Its description in RNAcentral is "bacterial SSU rRNA". It matches the Rfam family "Bacterial small subunit ribosomal RNA", at positions 524 to 898 of the family's 1533-position model. The record is from RNAcentral.
UACGGAGGGUGCAAGCGUUAAUCGGAAUUACUGGGCGUAAAGCGUGUGUAGGCGGUAAAGUCAGUCAGCCGUGAAAGCCCUGGGCUUAACCUGGGAACGGCGGUUGAGACGGCUUAACUCGAGUGGGCUAGAGGAUCGUGGAAUUCCGGGUGUAGCGGUGAAAUGCGUAGAGAUCCGGAGGAACACCGAUGGCGAAGGCAGCGAUCUGGGGCCACACUGACGCUGAGACACGAAAGCGUGGGGAGCAAACAGGAUUAGAUACCCUGGUAGUCCACGCGGUAAACGAUGAGCACUAGACGGUGGGCAGGUGACUGCCCGGUGUCGUAGCUAACGCGCUAAGUGCUCCGCCUGGGGAGUACGGCCGCAAGGUUGAA